UGGUGAUUUGAACAUCAACUCGAAACUCCUUCGGGUUGUAUGGUUAAGUGACUAAGCGUACACGGUGGAUGCCUUGGCAGUCAGAGGCGAUGAAGGA
RNAcentral lists this ribosomal RNA (97 nucleotides) under Vibrio alginolyticus. RNAcentral describes it as "partial 23S ribosomal RNA". The record is from RNAcentral. Lineage: Bacteria; Pseudomonadati; Pseudomonadota; Gammaproteobacteria; Vibrionales; Vibrionaceae.